Cygnus olor (mute swan) is the source of this 2839-nucleotide long non-coding RNA. RefSeq lists it as uncharacterized. The transcript has 7 exons. The record is from RefSeq and is a predicted model, not a curated record. Lineage: Eukaryota; Metazoa; Chordata; Aves; Anseriformes; Anatidae.
CCGGGCUUGCCGCUCGGUGGAGGGAAAGGCUGCCGGUGUGGGCAGGGGCUGGGAGCCGUGAGGGGCGUCUGGGGAGCCGCCUGGAGAGCGCGCUCCUCGGGGAGGCAGGAGGUGGUGGUGCGUCUAAUUAACGCCCCUGUGGUCCUGGGUUGCACUGAGUGAAACUCCGCUGUUGUGGAUCACUUUACCACAGGAGGAAGCACACUGUGUUUAUGCAGUUACAGCACUGUUUUGGCUACCCUCCUGUAGAGAUGGGGAAACUGAGAUGGAAGAAAAGUGAUUGCUUAACCUCAGCUAACAGGCUAACAGAAGAACAAGAAACUCCGGAUCACAGGUGAAUGAAGACAAUGAGUCCAGCUGCUCCAAACAGCAAGAUGAAGGAGAACAUACAUGUCAGCCUCAUAAUUAUUGUUCUCAGAUCAAUCCAGUUUUGACCCAGGAAAAGAACUGCACGCAAUCGCCAGGGCGCUCUUCACUCAUAGUUUCAUCCUCUCAUCUGGGAAGUCUGGCAUAAUAUUGCCUACAAAAGGGUUCCUGGCUACUCUGAAUAAAAACACCUUCUCCCAGAAGAUCUGGAGCAACUGGAGUGAGCUGUACUUCCAGAGGUUCACUGAGCUGUACAAAUGUUGCCUUGUUGUCAUUACUGCAGCCAAUACGUUUUUCCUGCUCGGUAAGAGAGCAAGCCUUUUCACUCUGAGCAUGCUGUUCUCACAGAUGGAAGUGAUUUGCUGUCAUCCCUCAUUUGGAAGAUCCUCCUUGCUGUGGAUGUCCUAACCCACCAUCCCCACGCAGCGAGUCCAGGUCUGUGUGCGCUGCGUUGUCAUGGGCACCCCUGCUUACCCAUGAACUCUGCUCCAGCAGAGCCUAAACAAUCACACACACAGACCGAGAAGAAUUCUCUUUUCAUCACAAGAGCCGAAUUUGUGCUCACGCUGUGUCGCUGCAGAAGCUUGUUUGCUCAAACACAGCAAUAUGGAGUCAAAUGUCAAAAGAGCUGCAGCUUUCAAGUCAGGGGUGAAAGGAUGCGUUUUUGCAGAGGAGUCUAUUGCAGUAGCCUUGGUCAAUGAAGGAAAUUAAGGACCCCCCGGCAAUUUCAGGAUUUGGUCCUGCCUCUUGACUUCUCCAGCAUUCAUGAUAGUGGCCAAAAAAUAGCUGAGUGACUGUCUACCAGCUGGCUGCCAGCUACUCUCCUUCUCCUUGGAGAAGUAGAAGUAGCAGAUUGGAAGUAAAUCAAUACAAAAUAGAGGAGGAUUCAAGCUUCCUGCCCCCAGCUCCACCUACUCUAUAGAUGUUUCCCAGCCUGUGGCCUAUAGAUUCCCAAUUUUUGGUGGAAAACACAGGCUGAUCUUGAAAUGUGAUAAUUCAGAGGGAGGAAGGAGAGACUACCAGAUGGCUCUGCUUUGCACCUACUUCAGUUUGCAGGAUAACACUUCUUUAUUUGCCAUAAAUUUAUCAUUCUCCCCCAUCUUUGUAGCAUGGAAUGAAGUUAAACUUUUGGCCUCUUGGCCCCAUCUUUCCACAGAACUAACAAAAUGAUGCAGUAACAUUGAAGGGAGAAUGAACAGAGUUUGUCUUUUCUGUAUGCAUAUGUGCAAAAGAGGAGAGAAAAUAGGGGUGGGGGUGUUGUGGAAGAAAGGAAAGAAGCUCAUAAAGAAUAUAAGUAGCAGAUCUGGAAACACCCCCUCACUACCCACAGCAAGCAUCUCAUUCCUCUGAGAGUCUGCCUGGAGGUGUCUUAAAUCCAUGGGAAACAAGAAGGAACUAUUUCUUCUUAUGAUCAUCAUCCAAGGUGGAAUUAUAGCCAGAAUUCACGAACUUUUUGAGGUAUAUUGUUUACUAAAAUACAAAUUUAAAUGACACUUUCUUUCCUAAUUUUCUUUGCUCUCUUCCUCCUAUUGCAGUGUAAAACCAUGAAGCAAUUCCACUGGGGCAUGGUGGGCCACUAAUCUUCACGCAGAGAGACAGCAGGAUGUGCUGUGCUUUCAGAUCUGUGCUUCAUCGUCCUCCUCUGUCCUCCUUAUGGCAUCUCUUCAGAGAUUCCAUGGAGAAAAUUGUAACCAUGUUGUUAUUCGCUUUCCACAUAGCUAUUAGGCAUGGGAUAAUGUCGUAUUAUAUGAUUAUUUUGUUGUUGUUGUUAUACCAUACUCAUCUCAAGGACUAAACAGUAAUAAGACUUUAAGUACCCAUUUCAUGCCCUAGUACAAGCUUCCUCGUUUAUGGAAAUGUUAAUUUUCCUGUAUGAUAAUUUGCACAAAUACAGUAUGUGUAGCAGAAUGGGAGUUAGAAAUUUGUAGUUAGGAGCUCUAAUUUUGCCAAGUUCAAGAAAGAAUUCAGCACAGAAAAUAUGUCAAUUGUAGGCUUUUAGACCAUGUGUCACUUUUGCAUAGAAGCUCAGUUUAUGCAUGCAAUUUACAUAUUCUGAUAAAAUUCUCAACCAGGCUUUUAAAAUUAUAGUCCUAAAAUUUGAAGUGCUGCUUCAGCAUUUCCAAGUUCAAAUCUAGGUUUGUGCCUGCACUAACUUAUUUAGCAGGAUGGUGAGGAUCUAUGACCACCAUACAGAGAAACCAGCUUUCUAAAACAGCUUUGGUCCCCAGCAUUGUGUGUGAGUUCUGAGCAGAAGUCUUUUGUGUCACUGGCAGAAAGAGGAGUUCGGCUCCAGGGAAAUCUGCAGUCCAGUCGUCAGCUCAGACGCCAUCCUGCUGCAUCCCAGAGAGGAUUAGUGGUCCUACAGCCCCCUGGAAUUGCCUCAGUUGUACCUCAAAGCAGUCAUCCCUAAACCCUGCAGGUCCUUUUUUAUGAAUUGUAUGAACAAUUAACUAUGCUUAAUAUUUUGGAUGUG